GAUGAACGCUAGCGGCAGGCUUAACACAUGCAAGUCGAGGGGCAGCGCGGGAUAGCUAUAUCCUGGCGGCGACCGGCGGAAGGGUGCGUAACGCGUGAGCGACAUGCCCGUUGCCCGGGGACAACCGGUGGAAACGCCGACUAAUCCCCGAUGGGAUACGAUGCUUCAUGGCAUUGUAUUGAAAGUUACGGCGGCGGCGGAUUGGCGCGCGUCCGAUUAGCUGGUUGGCGGGGUAACGGCCCACCAAGGCUGCGAUCGGUCGGGGUUCUGAGAGGAAGGCCCCCCAAAAUGGGACUGAGACACGGCCCAUACGCCUACGGGAGGCAGCAGUGAGGAAUAUUGGUCAAUGGGCGGAAGCCAGAACCAGCCAUGCCGCGUGCGGGAAGGAGGCCCUAUGGGCUGUGAACCGCUUUUGCCUGGGGGCAAUAAGGGCGUCGCGCACGUCCGAUGAGAGUACCAGGCGAAUAAGCAUCGGCUAACUCCGUG
Molecule: ribosomal RNA, 486 nt
Filed under: uncultured bacterium
Lineage: Bacteria
Description: partial 16S ribosomal RNA
Rfam family: Bacterial small subunit ribosomal RNA
Source: RNAcentral